Molecule: ribosomal RNA, 421 nt
Filed under: Clostridioides difficile
Lineage: Bacteria; Bacillati; Bacillota; Clostridia; Peptostreptococcales; Peptostreptococcaceae
Description: bacterial SSU rRNA
Rfam family: Bacterial small subunit ribosomal RNA
Source: RNAcentral
AAUAUCAAAGGUGAGCCAGUACAGGAUGGACCCGCGUCUGAUUAGCUAGUUGGUAAGGUAACGGCUUACCAAGGCGACGAUCAGUAGCCGACCUGAGAGGGUGAUCGGCCACAUUGGAACUGAGACACGGUCCAAACUCCUACGGGAGGCAGCAGUGGGGAAUAUUGCACAAUGGGCGAAAGCCUGAUGCAGCAACGCCGCGUGAGUGAUGAAGGCCUUCGGGUCGUAAAACUCUGUCCUCAAGGAAGAUAAUGACGGUACUUGAGGAGGAAGCCCCGGCUAACUACGUGCCAGCAGCCGCGGUAAUACGUAGGGGGCUAGCGUUAUCCGGAUUUACUGGGCGUAAAGGGUGCGUAGGCGGUCUUUCAAGUCAGGAGUGAAAGGCUACGGCUCAACCGUAGUAAGCUCUUGAAACUGGGAG